This 136-nucleotide ribosomal RNA is filed under the name uncultured bacterium. RNAcentral's name for it is "partial 16S ribosomal RNA". It matches the Rfam family "Bacterial small subunit ribosomal RNA", at positions 355 to 509 of the family's 1533-position model. The record is from RNAcentral.
UGGGGAAUAUUGCACAAUGGGGAAACCCUGAUGCAGCGACGCCGCGUGAAGGAAGAAGUAUUUCGGUAUGUAAACUUCUAUCAGCAGGGAAGAAAAUGACGGUACCUGACUAAGAAGCCCCGGCUAACUACGUGCC